Molecule: ribosomal RNA, 2232 nt
Filed under: Triticum aestivum (bread wheat)
Lineage: Eukaryota; Viridiplantae; Streptophyta; Magnoliopsida; Poales; Poaceae
Description: partial small subunit ribosomal RNA
Source: RNAcentral
AUGCAGAUGGCAAUGAAGACGAUCAUUCUGGAAGUCAAUCGCUUCGCCGGAACUCGAAGCGUCCUGCUAAUCACCAGCCACGAUCUGCACAGAGUGUUCAGCAGGGAGAAGAAUUUGAGACGUGCAACACCUGGAAAGGGAGCUGAGUCGUCUUCUAGGGCAGCAGUUGCUGGAGGAGCUGUCGCAUCUUCUGCAGCAGAUGCUGAGGCCAGCGGUGAAGGAGUUGAGGUGGCUCCAGGGGAAGACACACUUCCAGUGGACCUCACUAAGUUCCUGGUGCAGUCCUACCAGCCAGAGAGCUCUAAAAUGGUUUUCCCAAGAAGGGGAAGGGUCCGUGUCGAUGCUGACAGUGUUCACAGGAUACUAUACCUUGAUGCGCUUGUCCAUGAUAUCCUACUUAAAGAGGAGUAUAGAGGCACGGAGCAGACAUCACUGUUUGGUGGUAUUUUGCAAGAUGAAGCAUUCAUGGCAUCCAAGUUACGAAUGACCUACAAUCCGGAGGCGCAGAUUGCCAAAGUGGUUAAUGACCUGUGCAAGGCUGUAACUGAACAGGAGUUAGAAGAUGACGAGGAAAUGGAAGCAUCGAUAGAUGUUGACGAUGACGAGGACACAGAUGCAGAUGAAUCAGAGGAGGAGGACAAGGAGGAGGAUGACAAAGAAGAAGAUGCAGAGGAGGAGGAGGAGGAGGAGGAGAAAGAAGAGGAGGACAAAGAAGAAGAGGACAAAGGAGAGGAGGAGGACAAGGAAGAACAUAGUGAGGCAGAGGAGGAGGAAGAAGAAGAUGAGGCCAAAGAGGGGGACGGGGACAAAGGUGCAGCAAUUGAUGGCAGUCUGGGGGAGGAAGAUGACGAUGAAGAAUACGAGGAUGGUGAUGGUGUUAAUCAAGGGGGAUCCAAUGGAGGCAGCGACAGCAGCGAUGAUGAUGAUGACAACGCCCCUGGUUCUGGUGGUACAGGCGGCAACACAUCCAGGAGGACUAGGAGCUCUGCCACCCCUGCCAGGAGCAGUAAUUCAUUGAGCAGUAGGAGCACACUGCAGAUGUUGAUUGACAAAACUUGCUGGAAAGACAAGGAUUUGCCAAAGUCAAAGAAAAAUGAUGAAGCAGAGUCUCGGGGCAGCAUUGAUAUGUUCAAGCUCUCCAACUUGAAGCCAGCUUUGCCAACCACCUUUCCCGUGCCAGAUUUUAGCGACAAAGAGAUGUGUGAGAAGAUCGACUUUGCCAUUGAUCAGAGCAUGUUCUUAUCAAGUGACGUUGGAAAGUAUCAAAUUGACAUGGAGGAAGCAGGAAAGGGUCUUGAUUGGGUUCAUUCAAAGAAAAAAUACAAGGAAUAUUUGAAGCAGCUUCCAGAUCUAAGCUCCAGCAAGAGCAACACAGCAUCUGUUUCAAACCCUCACGUGGUCCAGAAGCGCAAAGCAGUUUCAAUGAAGAAAAAUUGCAGUUGCCUCAAACCAAGGAGAAGAUGAGAGCCAACCACCAUCACAGGAGUUCAACAGAUCAAGGGGAAUACUCCUCUUUCAGCGGUCCCACCUAAACCACCUAAGCAGCAAAAGAUUGUCAAGUUUGCAAAGGGCACAAAGGGGGAACAGGGCACAAAAGGUGUGGGGUUCAGAGAUGAGACAGAACUAUGUGCCGCAGCCAUUGAUGCAGGGGUGCCAGGAAGGCACCACUGCAACUGCAGGCCCCAAGGUGCCAACUCAUAUAGAUACUUCAAUGCCAAAGACGAAAGAAGCCCUGAGAUUAUCAGGUAUGGGGCUUUCUACAUUUCUUUAAAGGAUUUAGUUGAUUCCAUGAAGCCAGUUCAAUGGUUGUCAAGAAUUGUUAUUGAGACUGGAAUCCUAUACAUCAUGGAUAACUUACCAGAAGGGUCAAAGAAGGUCGUUAUGCCACUGAGGUUUUUUCAAGGGAUCCACAAUGUGAAUGAGAUAAACAAGAAGUUUGAUUACAAUAACCGUCUCGACAAGCAAGACUUGGUCAUGCUGCCAGUGCUCAAGUGCGCUGAUGUAACCGAUAAGGAUGGAGGGAGGAAUUAUUGGGUCUUCAAUAUCAACUUGAGGGAUGGACGCUUCGAAGUUCUUGAUUCAAGUAGGACGCUGGAGAACAUUGAGCUGAUGACCACCGCCUCUACCAUCGCGGGGGCAGUACGCCAGCUCUGGAGGAAGCAUUACCCAAAGUUCAGCAUCGAGCACUUCCAGAUUAUUGACACUGACGUACCGAAGUGGCUCGGCAAGUAA